UGGGGAAUAUUGCACAAUGGGCGCAAGCCUGAUGCAGCCAUGCCGCGUGUAUGAAGAAGGCCUUCGGGUUGUAAAGUACUUUCAGCGGGGAGGAAGGUGUUGUGGUUAAUAACCACAGCAAUUGACGUUACCCGCAGAAGAAGCACCGGCUAACUCCGUGCCAGCAGCCGCGGUAAUACGGAGGGUGCAAGCGUUAAUCGGAAUUACUGGGCGUAAAGCGCACGCAGGCGGUCUGUCAAGUCGGAUGUGAAGUCCCCGGGCUCAACCUGGGAACUGCAUCCGAAACUGGCAGGCUUGAGUCUUGUAGAGGGGGGUAGAAUUCCAGGUGUAGCGGUGAAAUGCGUAGAGAUCUGGAGGAAUACCGGUGGCGAAGGCGGCCCCCUGGACAAAGACUGACGCUCAGGUGCGAAAGCGUGGGGAGCAAACA
RNAcentral lists this ribosomal RNA (427 nucleotides) under uncultured bacterium. Its description in RNAcentral is "partial 16S ribosomal RNA". It matches the Rfam family "Bacterial small subunit ribosomal RNA", at positions 355 to 774 of the family's 1533-position model. The record is from RNAcentral.